RNAcentral lists this ribosomal RNA (252 nucleotides) under uncultured bacterium. Its description in RNAcentral is "partial 16S ribosomal RNA". It matches the Rfam family "Bacterial small subunit ribosomal RNA", at positions 524 to 776 of the family's 1533-position model. The record is from RNAcentral.
UACGGAGGGUGCGAGCGUUAUCCGGAUUUAUUGGGUUUAAAGGGUGCGUAGGCGGAUCGUUAAGUCAGUGGUCAAAUUGAGGGGCUCAACCCCUUCCCGCCAUUGAAACUGGCGAUCUUGAGUGGAAGAGAAGUAUGCGGAAUGCGUGGUGUAGCGGUGAAAUGCAUAGAUAUCACGCAGAACCCCGAUUGCGAAGGCAGCAUGCCGGCUUCCUACUGACGCUGAGGCACGAAAGCGUGGGGAUCGAACAGG